CCAAUAGCGUAUAUUAAGGUUGCUGCGGUUAAAAAGCUCGUAGUUGAAUUUCGGGAUUGAUGCAUUGGUCGUGCCUUAAGGGGUAUGAACUGGUGUGGUCAAUUUCUUACCUUCUGGUGAAUUGUGAUGUCCUCCUUAAUUGGGUGUUUCAAUGAACUAGGACUUUUUACUUUGAAAAAAUUAGAGUGUUUAAAGCAGGCAUUAUUUGCUUGAAUACAUUAGCAUGGAAUAAUAAAAUAGGACAAUGAUUCUAUUUUGUUGGUUUCUAGGAUCACUGUAAUGAUUAAUAGGGAUAGUUGGGGGCAUUAGUAUUCAAUUGUCAGAGGUGAAAUUCUUGGAUUAAUUGAAGACUAACUAUUGCGAAAGCAUUUGUCAAGGAUAUUUUCAUUAAUCAAGAACGAAAGUUAGGGGAUCGAAGACGAUUAGGUACGUCGUAGUCUUAACCAUAAACUAUGCCGACUAGGAAUCAGACAACGUUAAAUUUUUAAUGACUUGUUUGGCACCUUACG
RNAcentral lists this ribosomal RNA (509 nucleotides) under uncultured Glomeromycotina. RNAcentral's name for it is "partial small subunit ribosomal RNA". It matches the Rfam family "Eukaryotic small subunit ribosomal RNA", at positions 591 to 1092 of the family's 1831-position model. The record is from RNAcentral. Lineage: Eukaryota; Fungi; Glomeromycota.